CGGGUGAGUAACGCGUAUCCAACCUUCCGUACACUCAGGAAUAGCCUUUCGAAAGAAAGAUUAAUACCUGAUGGUAUGAUGAGAUUGCAUGAUAUCAUCAUUAAAGAUUCAUCGGUGUACGAUGGGGAUGCGUUCCAUUAGGUAGUAGGCGGGGUAACGGCCCACCUAGCCUACGAUGGAUAGGGGUUCUGAGAGGAAGGUCCCCCACAUUGGAACUGAGACACGGUCCAAACUCCUACGGGAGGCAGCAGUGAGGAAUAUUGGUCAAUGGACGAGAGUCUGAACCAGCCAAGUAGCGUGAAGGAUGAAGGUCCUACGGAUUGUAAACUUCUUUUAUAAGGGAAUAAAACCUCCCACGUGUGGGAGCUUGUAUGUACCUUAUGAAUAAGCAUCGGCUAACUCCGUGCCAGCAGCCGCGGUAAUACGGAGGAUGCGAGCGUUAUCCGGAUUUAUUGGGUUUAAAGGGAGCGUAGGCGGACGCUUAAGUCAGUUGUGAAAGUUUGCGGCUCAACCGUAAAAUUGCAGUUGAUACUGGGUGUCUUGAGUACAGU
RNAcentral lists this ribosomal RNA (551 nucleotides) under uncultured bacterium. RNAcentral's name for it is "bacterial SSU rRNA". It matches the Rfam family "Bacterial small subunit ribosomal RNA", at positions 103 to 652 of the family's 1533-position model. The record is from RNAcentral.